RNAcentral lists this ribosomal RNA (475 nucleotides) under Klebsiella pneumoniae. Its description in RNAcentral is "partial 23S ribosomal RNA". It matches the Rfam family "Bacterial large subunit ribosomal RNA", at positions 226 to 744 of the family's 2925-position model. Lineage: Bacteria; Pseudomonadati; Pseudomonadota; Gammaproteobacteria; Enterobacterales; Enterobacteriaceae. The record is from RNAcentral.
CAACCGAGAUUCCCCCAGUAGCGGCGAGCGAACGGGGAGCAGCCCAGAGUCUGAAUCAGCUUGUGUGUUAGUGGAACGGUCUGGAAAGUCCGACGGUACAGGGGGAUAGUCCCGUACACCAAAAUGCACAGGCUGUGAACUCGAAGAGUAGGGCGGGACACGUGGUAUCCUGUCUGAAUAUGGGGGGACCAUCCUCCAAGGCUAAAUACUCCUGACUGACCGAUAGUGAACCAGUACCGUGAGGGAAAGGCGAAAAGAACCCCGGCGAGGGGAGUGAAAAAGAACCUGAAACCGUGUACGUACAAGCAGUGGGAGCACCUUCGGGUGUGACUGCGUACCUUUUGUAUAAUGGGUCAGCGACUUAUAUUCUGUAGCAAGGUUAACCGUAUAGGGGAGCCGCAGGGAAACCGAGUCUUAACUGGGCGUUAAGUUGCAGGGUAUAGACCCGAAACCCGGUGAUCUAGCCAUGGGCAGG